UUCAUUCACAAAACAAAGGCCCCACUCAGCGAUUUCGCUCUCCCACCUCCCACAUCCCACAUCCCACAUCCCGCCUCCUUGUAUCUUUCAUGGGCCUUUUGUAUCUACACUUCUGGCGGACUGAAGCCCAUCCAUUUCUCUCCCGCGAGAAUGGGAAGGAAUCCACGGAUGCUGAUGACGUUAAAGAAUUUUUGUUUCAAAAAAAAUAAUAUACACGCGCGUUGGAAACAAUUAUCUAAUUUCCUCACCGCUCUCAAUUGUGUGCAACCCAAUUAACAGACAAAUAAUAAUGAUGAUCGGUUGCGUAACAACUAGCUGACUUAUCCUUUAAAUAUUCUAUUAUAUUCGAAUCGUGCUCAGGUCGUGCUGGAAUGGAAAUCAUCACGCAGGAAUCUCAAUUUUGGAAUAUAUCAAACGAUUGUUUACGUUAGUUGGACCUACGGAGCGGGUGGCGAAAUAAAAUAGAGUCAAUUGGUUUAGGUGAAAGGCGAACCUAUAGAUACACACAGAUCCAGAUCCGUAGCCAUGUAGUCAUGAGCGAUGAAAAGAACAUCGGGUGCAUCGCUUUGUUAAUGGCCACGAUGAGCAGACACAGGCAGAGCUGCUUGUUUUUCAUCGAUGUUGAGUCUAUGAAAUUCUGGAAUUUUUCGGAAACGUCUAGAGCAACAUGUUUCGCAUUUUCGGUCUAUAAAUUUUAAAGCGACUUGACGUCAUUUGGACCUUAAAGUGGCGUCAUUGGACAACAAUUUAUAGGAAAUAAAUAUUAUUGUUACGUCUCUUAAAUUAAUACAGUCAUCCGCAGAUAUGUAUAUAUUUUGUGGUAAACAAGAUUGUAAAGAUUUCUUUCCGGAAAUUAAUAAAUUUGAAAUGCUUAUAUUCGCCAUUGUAUUUAAAUGGCCAGGAGCGUACGUAACACGCUUACGUAUUUUUGAAAAUUCGUGCACAUAUUGAGUACAUUUCAGCUUCAGAAUAUUUAAAUGUAUGUAUGUAAGUACAUGGAUGUGCAUGCGCAAAUAUACUAAUUGGGUUUUGUAUAAAAGGAAGUAAUAAACGUUCUCAAACAGAGGGAAAAAUAUUUUUAAAAAAUUGGCAAACGGCCAAGGUAAUAUGAUUGGUUUUUGUGAUUUGUCCGAAUGACGUAGGCAAACACAGCAGAAAGUAGAGCGAAAUUGUCGGUUUGCGCGGAAAUUUGGAGGCCGACCAAAGGGUCUAUGUGUUUCUGUUCAAGCAUCAUCAACAAACAAAAUUGAAAUCUUGCUUACAAUCCCAUUUUUUAAAUGUAAACAAUCAUGGAUAUUUAUGUAACAAAUAGUCUGCCGGCUCGACUCAAUUGUGCACUCGAAAUACCUAGGGUUUCCUGCUUUUAUAUAUUAAAAAAAAUAUACAAAUUUCUUGAUUCUCUUUUUUCUUAAUUUACACUAUAGCACCAACACGUUGUAAUGGUACAAGCGUUAUAGUGUAGAACUUAAAUAUGAUGAGGAACUUGCAUAGGACCUGCCAGAUUCAUUUGGGAAUUUUCUGAAAUUGUAGAUUUUUUAUUUGUCUCAUGUGUGAAAAGAAUGUAUUGUUUUCUUAAAAAUAUAAAU
Molecule: non-coding RNA, 1586 nt
Organism: Drosophila suzukii
Lineage: Eukaryota; Metazoa; Arthropoda; Insecta; Diptera; Drosophilidae
Source: RefSeq, a predicted model, not a curated record